Molecule: non-coding RNA, 3139 nt
Organism: Microcebus murinus (gray mouse lemur)
Lineage: Eukaryota; Metazoa; Chordata; Mammalia; Primates; Cheirogaleidae
Source: RefSeq, a predicted model, not a curated record
UGUCAGGGCUGGUGGCCAAACCCGAGACUCCUGAAUGAGGUUGGUGCGUCAAGUGCGGGACGCCCGGUUUAAAUUCAUAUUUCAGAUAAAGAACAAAUAAUUCGUAGUGAAUCCCGCAUCGGCGGUGGUUGUCCUGGAAACCCAGCGGUCCGCGCACGAGGAAGAGGCCAGGCGGGAACUCCUGCCGCCGGGACCCCCAUCGCCUGCCGGCCGAGGGGGCAGCAGCCUAGUACGGGGGCUCUUGCAGGAGGCCAGCCCCGUGGCUGCGACCUUGCAGCCCGGUCGUGCGAGACAGUCCUCCCUGCGUGUCGCACGUUGAGCGUGUGUCCCCGUGUUCAAGGCCGAGAUCUACACAGAGUCCUGGGCAGUGCUGGCAUCUGACCAGAUGUGAGGGACUUGGGAAGAGCCAAUGACAGAGGGAGGCUUGAGGAAGAGGAGAGUGGACAGACGCCCCGGGCUGUCCCGGAGGCCGAGCAUGUGCCCGGAGGCAGGAGUUGGAGAGGAAUUGAGGCCUCUCAUGCUCACACCAGUGCCCUGUCCUGCCACCGUCCUAACUCAGCGCUGCGCUGGUCUGCAGUGUGGUGCCCACAGGAGGACAUCAUGCCAGCCCAGGGACUGCGAGCUGUUCAGCAUUCCUCAUGCCACAAGGUGAGUGAGGGAAACAGAGUGUGGUGUUGCCAGUCUGGCUGGCGUCGGACAGGGCAUGUGUGGCUGGAAAUGGGGACAUCAGGGGUGUUCCUCUACUACAUGCUGAUGGGUAUGUGGGAGACCUUUGCAACCCCAGAGGGGCAAGAGCCACAGGGGCUCGUAAUAGGAAGGAAGGUUGGGUUGCCCCACUGGGCUGGAACCCACCCACCCGAAGCUCUGGCUAGAGGCAAGCCCUCUUGAGAGAAAGGUCUCUUUGUUGCUUCCUGCCUGGGGCCAUCUCCCUUUCCUCUCCUGUCCUGGUUCAGGUAUUUCCUUGGGUAGUUCCAGCUUCUGCUCUGUGGCUACAGACACUGGGCAGAACCUUGCCAGAGCUCAGGGAGGUGGACAUCCCCAGAGAGCGGGCACAGAUGUCACCUCCUGCUGCCACACUGAGUGGUGUGGCUUGCCACCUGGUGGGGAGGGAAUAGGUGGUUCUGUUGAACAUCAGACACUGCACUGGGCCAGGCAGGACAUCCUGGGACGGUGGGUGUGAGUGAAGGGUGUGGCUGCCGCCGGAGUGUUUCUGCCCGGAGGGCGCCUGCCCCCUUCUCCCGGUGACAGUUCCUGCUUUGUGCAGGAACUGCCCUCUCCCCAUCCACGUGGUUCUGUUCGAGCUGCCACCCAAAACCCAGGCCCAGAAAUCACACGCCAUGUCCCCCAGCCCAGGGAGUGAGCCCUUUCCUGGACAUGGGGGGAGGACCCUGCCUUCCUACUGGGUAGCCAAGCUGGGAUGAGGUGGCCUGGCCCUGUCAGGGUCAUGCCUGUGUCCUCUUGCUGCAUGGGGAACACACGUCUGCCGUGGAGAGAAGGAGGCCAACACGCAGAGAGAAGCAGUGCAGGGAGACGAGUGGAAAGACAGAACUCCGAUGACAGCUGAGUCUUUGGAGGCCCGGAGGCCCAGGCUGACCCUGACCGUCCUGGUGGUAACUGCCUUUGGUGCCAGACACCUUGGGGCUGGCAUCGCGUCAGCUAUGACCUAAAGGGUCUCAGUGCACCAGCGCUGGAUGUCACAGCAGUGGCAGGCCACUGCGGCAGAUGGCAACAGUCCAUGCCCUGAGCAUCUCUGGGCUCCUGAGGUCCUGCAAAUACUCUGGUGGCAGGUGGGGCCCACUGAGGCCUGAGGAAGGAAGGAGGGGACCCGUCCUCAAGAGUACCCACAGCACGCCGGCACACAGACUUCCAGCGAAAGAUCUCGUGUGUCCGUCACAGGGACCUAAGCAAACCGAAAUGACAGCCCAGCCACUCAGCAGGUGUCCCCGGCCAGAGAGGCGACAGGGUGAGCUGCAGAACAUGUCUCCGGUCCUGUUCCAUGCAUGCGUGUGUGCAUACGGUAGCCGUGUGUGUAUAGAGAGUGCUCUGGGUUCCAUAUUGGACUGUAUCAUGUACCUUGUGCCUGAUUUCGUCUCCACAUGCAUGUGCCCUUUUGGAAACUUGAACGACACGUAAGGCAGGAAGACAGAGCAGACAUCUGGGGGCUUCAGCAUCAGAGACUUGGGUUCAAGACCCAGUUCUGGCACUGGAAACGAUGCCGCCCUUGGGCCAGGAUAGGCGCGGUGCCCGAGGUUUGGCCUCUUCUCUCCUCCCUGCCGGGUCUCUGUGGGGCAGGAGGGCUGCCGGCGCCGGGGCCCACCCGGUCAUCCGGAGCUCGGCCCACUCUGCUCUGGGGAGAUGGGAAGGGGUUUGCGGCCACACCUGUGCCCUACUUAAAUAGGUAGCGGUGUCAGCCUUGGUCACCGAGGGGCCUGGGGAGAAGGAGUGUCUCUGAGAAGGGAGCCAUGCGGGCCUCUUGGUCUUGAGUCCCCCCCAACACCAGAUAGGUGGAAGUUCUGGAAAGUUCUUAGCGAUGCCUGCUUCUCUUGGCCUGUCUCCUGGCCGCAGGUCCUCGGGUAGGCCACUUGCCUCCCUCAGACCCAGUGUCCCUGUCUGAGAAUGAGACACAGACGGGACGGUUCUCGGGGGUGGGUGUGGCUGAGCGCUGAGCAGUGACAGCCUCUGCAGAGAGGGACAGGGACCUGCUGGCCAUCUGCCCUCAGCAGCAGCUCUUCACUUCCAGUUACCAGUAGAGGCAGAGACUGUAUUGCCCCAGGACCUGUCCUCCCCUUCUCCUCAGUAACACAGUGCCCAGCUUGUGACUGGGCACCUGGGCACCCAGAGUGGAAAUUACAUUUUCAGUGUCCCUCACAGCUAGUUCUGGGAAUGAGGGUGAACAGCAAACCUCGUGCAACAAGAAACAUCCUUAAACACAGGGGCUAUGCUCUUCUUUGUCCCAUCUCCCUUGCUUCUGGUUGAACUGUAAAUGUGAUGGCUGGAGCAUGAGCAGCCAUCCUGGGUCAUAAGAAGGAAGCCAUCUUUGGGGAGAGCAGAACAACAAGACAGAAGGAGCGUGGGUUCCUGGUGGUUAUGGAACCUCCACAGCUGCUCUGGAGGCCUUAAGUAAAAGGGAAAGAAAUAA